AAAGCGUGCGCAGGCGGUUUUGUAAGUCUGACGUGAAAUCCCCGGGCUCAACCUGGGAAUUGCGUUGGAGACUGCAAGGCUAGAAUCUGGCAGAGGGGGGUAGAAUUCCACGUGUAGCAGUGAAAUGCGUAGAGAUGUGGAGGAACACCGAUGGCGAAGGCAGCCCCCUGGGUCAAGAUUGACGCUCAUGCACGAAAGCGUGGGGAGCAAACAGGAUUAGAUACCCUAGU
RNAcentral lists this ribosomal RNA (230 nucleotides) under uncultured bacterium. RNAcentral's name for it is "partial 16S ribosomal RNA". It matches the Rfam family "Bacterial small subunit ribosomal RNA", at positions 562 to 791 of the family's 1533-position model. The record is from RNAcentral.